ACUAAAUAGGAUUCUCUUAGUAAUGGCGAAUGAACUGGGAUGAGCUCACCAUGGGAAUCGGGGUCCUCGACCUUGAAUUGUAGUCUUGAGACGCACUGCCAACAAAGGCGCAGGUGUAAGCCUCUUGGAAGAGAGCAUCGCAGAGGGUGAGAGUCCCGUCUGUCACCUGCAGCCCCUUGUGUACGGCAUGCGUUCUGAGAGUCACGUUCCUCGGGAUUGGAGCGCAAAUUGGGUGGUAAGUUUCACCUCAAGCUAAAUAUUGGUCCGAGACCGAUAGCAAACAAGUACCAUGAGGGAAAGGUGAAAAGGACUUUGAAAAGAGAGUUAAAAGUGCUUGAAAUUGCUGAAAGGGAAGCGAAUGGAACCAGUUCUGCUGGGCGAGAUUGUCGCAUGCCAAGGCCUCGUGCCGGCCGCAUGCGGUGCUUCUUGCCUUGUGUGUCAGCUGCGGUCCGAAGUCGGGGAAAACUCUGGGGACAUGGAUGCCAACCUCCGGGGGGGUGAAUGUGCCUGGCAAGACCCGUCCUCGGACCGUGAGCAGUGCUUCGGCAUGUUUGCGGUGCUGACGAAAUGCUUCUAUUCGACCCGUCUUGAAACACGGACCGAGGAGUCUAACAUGUGUGCGAGUUCACGGGUGUCAAACCUGCUUGCGCAAUGAAAGUGACUGCUGGGAUACUUGCACCAGCAACCGAUCUGUCAACCGAGAGAGAUUUGAGUUUGAGCAUACCUGUUAGGACCCGAAAGAUGGUGAACUAUGCUUGUGUAGGGCAAAGCCAGGGGAAACUCUGGUGGAGGCUCGUAGCGAUACUGACGUGCAAAUCGUUCGUCAAACAUGAGUAUAGGGGCGAAAGACUAAUCGAACCAUCUAGUAGCUGGUUCCCUCCGAAGUUUCCCUCAGGAUAGCUGGAGUUGAACAGUUUUAUCAGGUAAAGCGAAUGAUUAGAGGAAUCGGGGACGUGUUGUCCUCGACCUAUUCUCAAACUUUAAAUGGGUAAGAUCCAACAGUUGCUUAAUUGAACUGUUGGGGCAAAUGUGAACUCUAAGUGGGCCAUUUUUGGUAAGCAGAACUGGCGAUGAGGGAUGAACCUAACGUUGGGUUAAGGUGCUUAACUGCUCGCUCAUCAGAUACCAUAAAGGGUGUUGGUUCAUUUUAACAGCAGGACGGUGGUCAUGGAAGUCGAAAUCCGCUAAGGAGUGUGUAACAACUCACCUGCCGAAUGGACUAGCCCCGAAAAUGGAUGGCGCUCAAGCGGGUGACUGAUACCCAACCAUUGUUGCAAUUGUGCGGCAUCAAUGAGUAGGAGGGCAUGGGGGCCUGUGAUGAUGCUUUUGGCGUAUAGCCUG
Molecule: ribosomal RNA, 1341 nt
Filed under: Akashiwo sanguinea
Lineage: Eukaryota; Dinophyceae; Gymnodiniales; Gymnodiniaceae
Description: LSU rRNA
Rfam family: Eukaryotic large subunit ribosomal RNA
Source: RNAcentral